Molecule: ribosomal RNA, 460 nt
Filed under: uncultured bacterium
Lineage: Bacteria
Description: partial 16S ribosomal RNA
Rfam family: Bacterial small subunit ribosomal RNA
Source: RNAcentral
CCUACGGGAGGCAGCAGUGAGGAAUAUUGGUCAAUGGGCGUAAGCCUGAACCAGCCAAGUCGCGUGAGGGAUGAAGGUUCUAUGGAUCGUAAACCUCUUUUAUAAGGGAAUAAAGUGUGGGACGUGUCCUAUUUUGUAUGUACCUUAUGAAUAAGGAUCGGCUAUCUCGGUGCCAGCAGCCGCGGUAAUACGGAGGAUCCGAGUGUUAUCCGGAGUUAUUGGGUUUAAAGGGUGCGUAGGCGGCCUUUUAAGUCAGCGGUGAAAGUCUGUGGCUCAACCAUAGAAUUGCCGUUGAAACUGGGGGGCUUGAGUAUGUUUGAGGCAGGCGGAAUGCGUGGUGUAGCGGUGAAAUGCGUAGAUAUCACGCAGAACCCCGAUUGCGAAGGCAGCCUGCCAAGCCAUGACUGACGCUGAUGCACGAAAGCGUGGGGAUCAAACAGGAUUAGAUACCCUUGUAGUC